RNAcentral lists this ribosomal RNA (440 nucleotides) under uncultured bacterium. Its description in RNAcentral is "bacterial SSU rRNA". It matches the Rfam family "Bacterial small subunit ribosomal RNA", at positions 338 to 795 of the family's 1533-position model. The record is from RNAcentral.
CCUACGGGGGGCAGCAGUGGGGAAUAUUGCACAAUGGGGGAAACCCUGAUGCAGCAACGCCGCGUGAGCGAAGAAGGCCUUCGGGUCGUAAAGCUCUGUCCUAAGGGAAGAAGCAUGACGGUACCUUAGGAGGAAGCCCCGGCUAACUACGUGCCAGCAGUCGCGGUAAUACGUAGGGGGCGAGCGUUAUCCGGAAUCACUGGGCGUAAAGGGUGCGUAGUCGGACAAUUAAGCCAGGGGCGAAAGGCUACGGCUCAACGGUAGUAAGGCUUUGGAACUGAAUGGCUUGAGUGCAGGAGAGGAGAGUGGAAUUCAUAGUGUAGCGGUGAAAUGCGUAGAUAUUAGGAGGAACACCAGUGGAGAAGGCGACUCUCUGGACUGUAACUGAAGCUGAGGCACGAAAGCGUGGGGAGCAAACAGGAUUAGAUACCCCGGUAGUC